This 1521-nucleotide ribosomal RNA is filed under the name metagenome. Its description in RNAcentral is "bacterial SSU rRNA". It matches the Rfam family "Bacterial small subunit ribosomal RNA". The record is from RNAcentral.
AGAGUUUGAUCAUGGCUCAGAUUGAACGCUGGCGGCAGGCCUAACACAUGCAAGUCGAACGGUAACAGGAAACAGCUUGCUGUUUCGCUGACGAGUGGCGGACGGGUGAGUAAUGUCUGGGAAACUGCCUGAUGGAGGGGGAUAACUACUGGAAACGGUAGCUAAUACCGCAUAACGUCGCAAGACCAAAGAGGGGGACCUUCGGGCCUCUUGCCAUCAGAUGUGCCCAGAUGGGAUUAGCUAGUAGGUGGGGUAACGGCUCACCUAGGCGACGAUCCCUAGCUGGUCUGAGAGGAUGACCAGCCACACUGGAACUGAGACACGGUCCAGACUCCUACGGGAGGCAGCAGUGGGGAAUAUUGCACAAUGGGCGCAAGCCUGAUGCAGCCAUGCCGCGUGUAUGAAGAAGGCCUUCGGGUUGUAAAGUACUUUCAGCGGGGAGGAAGGGAGUAAAGUUAAUACCUUUGCUCAUUGACGUUACCCGCAGAAGAAGCACCGGCUAACUCCGUGCCAGCAGCCGCGGUAAUACGGAGGGUGCAAGCGUUAAUCGGAAUUACUGGGCGUAAAGCGCACGCAGGCGGUUUGUUAAGUCAGAUGUGAAAUCCCCGGGUUCAACCUGGGAACUGCAUCUGAUACUGGCAAGCUUGAGUCUCGUAGAGGGGGGUAGAAUUCCAGGUGUAGCGGUGAAAUGCGUAGAGAUCUGGAGGAAUACCGGUGGCGAAGGCGGCCCCCUGGACGAAGACUGACGCUCAGGUGCGAAAGCGUGGGGAGCAAACAGGAUUAGAUACCCUGGUAGUCCACGCCGUAAACGAUGUCGACUUGGAGGUUGUGCCCUUGAGGCGUGGCUUCCGGAGCUAACGCGUUAAGUCGACCGCCUGGGGAGUACGGCCGCAAGGUUAAAACUCAAAUGAAUUGACGGGGGCCCGCACAAGCGGUGGAGCAUGUGGUUUAAUUCAAUGCAACGCGAAGAACCUUACCUGGUCUUGACAUCCACGGAAGUUUUCAGAGAUGAGAAUGUGCCUUCGGGAACCGUGAGACAGGUGCUGCAUGGCUGUCGUCAGCUCGUGUUGUGAAAUGUUGGGUUAAGUCCCGCAACGAGCGCAACCCUUAUCCUUUGUUGCCAGCGGUCCGGCCGGGAACUCAAAGGAGACUGCCAGUGAUAAACUGGAGGAAGGUGGGGAUGACGUCAAGUCAUCAUGGCCCUUACGACCAGGGCUACACACGUGCUACAAUGGCGCAUACAAAGAGAAGCGACCUCGCGAGAGCAAGCGGACCUCAUAAAGUGCGUCGUAGUCCGGAUUGGAGUCUGCAACUCGACUCCAUGAAGUCGGAAUCGCUAGUAAUCGUGGAUCAGAAUGCCACGGUGAAUACGUUCCCGGGCCUUGUACACACCGCCCGUCACACCAUGGGAGUGGGUUGCAAAAGAAGUAGGUAGCUUAACCUUCGAGAGGGCGCUUACCACUUUGUGAUUCAUGACUGGGGUGAAGUCGUAACAAGGUAACCGUAAGGAACCUGCGGUUG